This 271-nucleotide long non-coding RNA is filed under the name Heterocephalus glaber (naked mole-rat). RNAcentral describes it as "lncRNA (ENSHGLG00100052438.1)". The record is from RNAcentral. Lineage: Eukaryota; Metazoa; Chordata; Mammalia; Rodentia; Bathyergidae.
UGGGCACAUUAAAAAAAAAAAAAGGAGCUAUGAAAACAAAUACCAUUCAAAUAAUUAGGAUCUUAUGCCUGAGGCCAGCCUUGAUGCCAAGCAGGGACUUCCCUGCAGGAAUCGGAGCUGAGCCUGAUCCCAAAAGGAAGAAUCUGGACACCAUAAUCACCAGCAAAAUUUAAAAACGAGAGCAUGGAGAAAAGGAGAGAGGACGAGAAAGACAGAGAAAAAAGAAUAAAGAAACUAAUUAAAAUCUAUGGAUUUUCUGGAGCUAAUUUGA